Molecule: unclassified non-coding RNA, 260 nt
Filed under: plant metagenome
Description: partial contains small subunit ribosomal RNA, internal transcribed spacer 1, and 5.8S ribosomal RNA
Source: RNAcentral
UUUCCGUAGGUGAACCUGCGGAAGGAUCAUUAUUGAAUGAAACACUUCUGGCUUUAUGCUGUUGUGCUGGCCCUUUGGGCAAUGUGCACACGGCUCUGGUCACUUGUUUCUUCUGUUCCACCUGUGCACUGCCUGUAGACACGCUGUGCCUAUGAUAUUUGUUAACACACAACAAUGUUAGUUGGCAUGUUAUAUAUAAUAAUAAAAUAUACAACUUUCAACAACGGAUCUCUUGGUUCUGGCAUGAUGAAGAACGCAGC